GAGGGUGCGAGCGUUAAUCGGAAUUACUGGGCGUAAAGCGCACGUAGGCUGUAUGUCAAGUCAAGGGUGAAAUCCCCGGGCUCAACCUGGGAACUGCCUUUGAAACUGGCAAACUGGAGUAUGUGAGAGGGCGGCGGAAUUCCUGGUGUAGGAGUGAAAUCCGUAGAUAUCAGGAGGAACAUCAGUGGCGAAGGCGGCCGCCUGGCACAAAACUGACGCUGAGGUGCGAAAGCGUGGGUAGCAAA
RNAcentral lists this ribosomal RNA (245 nucleotides) under uncultured bacterium. RNAcentral describes it as "partial 16S ribosomal RNA". It matches the Rfam family "Bacterial small subunit ribosomal RNA", at positions 528 to 772 of the family's 1533-position model. The record is from RNAcentral.